AUUUACGUUGUGUGCUCCUGCGUAGGCUGGAUCUCAGCAUCCAGUGACCUUGCUGGGGUUCGACCCAAACCAACUCCAAGAGCAAGGCCUGCGCUGUCUGCAGCCGUGAUCAGGUGUUGGUGGCAGAGAUCACAACAGCAGCCUGUUGUGCAGCCGUGAGCUGCUCGCUUGUGCCUCGCCGCCGGUAGAAGCAAGAACAACACAAGCAGCUGAAACUUGGCAUCCGAAGUCACAAGGGAGAAACUAGGAAGAAAGAAACCACCCCUGGCUAAGCUGCUUCUGGGUGAUAUGAAAGUGAAAUUGCUGGGAGCUUUGCAGGGAACAGUCAGCUCCAGGAAGGCUUUGGGGUACCCUUACCAAUGCUUCCUACACCCAACCCCCCACCGCUCCUUCAGCCGUGUUACUGCCACUGCUGCGAUGCCAGACGGCGAGCGGGAUCAGUAAAACCGAUGCAGGUUUGAGCUCGUGGCAGGAAAACGAGGGAAGCCCAACAGCACGACACGAAGGCUCAAGCAUUGGAUGGGCCAUAAAAAAACACUUCCAAAGUACACCUUUUGUAAAAUCUCAUUAUUUUCCGAGGGUUGAUUCAUGACGGUUGAAUCGCCAGGACCAGCAACAUUCGUAUAAUGCAGAAGAGCAAUAAACAUUACAGAAGUAAAAAAGCACAGCUCUUCUAUAUCACACGCCAGCUGCAGCGACACUACGCCUCAGCUGGAUUUAUUGUGGCGUCCUCCAGCAGAGCGAGUGGCGAAGUGCUGCCAUUACUUCUGAUUAUGAACGGAUCGGAUCUGGCUACCCAAAGGAAUUUACUCUGCAGUGUGCUGUUUCAAUGCAAUGACAUCACAGACACCGGCAGGACCCUUAGAAGUCUCCCUUACAGCCCACAUCACACCUCCAGCAGUGGCAAUCUCCUGUGCAUGCGUCAGACAGCCCUCCUACACCUGGGCUGAGAGCAGCACCCCACACGGGCUGACACAAUGCCUGGGAUGUGUGUCAUGAUUCGUGGCACACAGCCUCACCGAUGCAGUGGCAUGACCUGCUGAGCUGUGUGGGACAUUUGCUCUGUGAUGAGGUGCAAGUUCUGCGUGCUCGGCAAACCUUUAUUAAUUUUAAACAGAACGGCGGAUGUCAAUUAACUGUGGGAGAUCUGUCAGCGUUUGUUAACGCUCUCUGUAUUCCUUUAUUAAUUUUUCAUACAGUCGUGGAUGUGCAUCUGCUCAGGGGAAAUAUCAACAGCAGGACGGCGUGUUUCCCCACAGGGCCCCGUGCUGGGAGG
RNAcentral lists this long non-coding RNA (1276 nucleotides) under Gallus gallus (chicken). Its description in RNAcentral is "lncRNA (ENSGALG00010013522.1)". The record is from RNAcentral. Lineage: Eukaryota; Metazoa; Chordata; Aves; Galliformes; Phasianidae.